GAACUAAACAAUUGCUUAGGAAGCACAGUGAAGAAUAAAGGCAUCUUCAAAUCCGGGAACAUGUCGUCCCAGGCGAGCGGGAUGCAUACUAAAGGGCCUUUUCGUAAACAGCAGACGGCCAGCAAGAAAACAAAUGUGCCUAAACCGCAAGAGGCAACUCCUACUGGAGCUAAAGCUAACGGUAUAUCAACUCAUAACACACCACAUACGGAUGCAGUCAAGCAGCCAAAACCAAAGCAACAAGUCAAACAAGGCACAGGCCCCAAAUAAUUCUUAUCAGCUGGUGAAUUGAGGAUAAAGAAAUAUAUUGCUUAUCUCGUCUGAAAUAAUGUAGAAGACAUGGUAUAUUGGGGCCAUGCCUUGUCUAGUUGGAGCAUGUAAGUAGCGAAGGGAUGUAAAAGAAAUAUGGCUUGAUCUAUUACAUAUUAGUAAUGUGUACCGUGUACAACUUGGGCUCGUGUAUUUAUUCGCUAUCCUUAGUCCUUCUGUUGGCUUUGUUAUAUGAAUUAACAUCUAUUAAUAAAUUGAGAUUGUAUUUGUUU
Long non-coding RNA from Lolium rigidum, 542 nucleotides. RefSeq lists it as uncharacterized. The transcript has 5 exons. NCBI's taxonomy places the organism in Eukaryota, Viridiplantae, Streptophyta, Magnoliopsida, Poales, Poaceae. The record is from RefSeq and is a predicted model, not a curated record.